UAUUAAAAAUUUCAUCCACUUGUAUUGUUAAAAACUAGUGUGAUUGAUGGAAUAAUUAGACAUUGACAUGUGGCAUGUCGUGUGUACCUCAUGCUGAUAUAUAGGGAUCAAUUUUAACCGUAGAAAUAGAUAAAAAUUUUAACA
This is a non-coding RNA of Gossypium hirsutum (cotton), 144 nucleotides long. The record is from Rfam. NCBI's taxonomy places the organism in Eukaryota, Viridiplantae, Streptophyta, Magnoliopsida, Malvales, Malvaceae.